RNAcentral lists this ribosomal RNA (273 nucleotides) under uncultured bacterium. RNAcentral's name for it is "partial 16S ribosomal RNA". It matches the Rfam family "Bacterial small subunit ribosomal RNA", at positions 524 to 796 of the family's 1533-position model. The record is from RNAcentral.
CACGUAGGAGGCAAACGUUAUCCGGAUUUACUGGGCGUAAAGCGCGUGUAGGUGGUUUGGUAAGUAGGGCGUGAAAGCUCCUGGCUCAACUGGGAGAGGACGUCCUAAACUGCCAAGCUUGAGGAUGGUAGAGGGAGGUGGAAUUCCGGGUGUAGCGGUGGAAUGCGCAGAUAUCCGGAGGAACACCAGUGGCGAAGGCGGCCUCCUGGACCACUCCUGACACUCAGACGCGAAAGCUAGGGUAGCAAACGGGAUUAGAUACCCCCGUAGUCC